RNAcentral lists this ribosomal RNA (484 nucleotides) under uncultured bacterium. RNAcentral describes it as "partial 16S ribosomal RNA". It matches the Rfam family "Bacterial small subunit ribosomal RNA", at positions 30 to 507 of the family's 1533-position model. The record is from RNAcentral.
AUUGAACGCUGGCGGAAUGCUUUACACAUGCAAGUCGAACGGCAGCACGGGGGCAGCCCUGGUGGCGAGUGGCGAACGGGUGAGUAAUACAUCGGAACGUGCCCGGUCGUGGGGGAUAACGUAGCGAAAGUUACGCUAAUACCGCAUACGAUCUGAGGAUGAAAGCGGGGGACCUUCGGGCCUCGCGCGAUCGGAGCGGCCGAUGUCAGAUUGGGUAGUUGGUGGGGUAAAGGCCUACCAAGCCGACGAUCUGUAGCUGGUCUGAGAGGACGACCAGCCACACUGGGACUGAGACACGGCCCAGACUCCUACGGGAGGCAGCAGUGGGGAAUUUUGGACAAUGGGCGCAAGCCUGAUCCAGCCAUUCCGCGUGCAGGACGAAGGCCUUCGGGUUGUAAACUGCUUUUGUACGGAACGAAAAGGCUCUGGCUAAUACCUGGGGCUCAUGACGGUACCGUAAGAAUAAGCACCGGCUAACUACGUG